Molecule: transfer RNA, 76 nt
Filed under: Methanobacteriota archaeon
Lineage: Archaea; Methanobacteriati; Methanobacteriota
Description: Euryarchaeota archaeon tRNA-Trp
Rfam family: tRNA
About the family: Transfer RNA (tRNA) molecules are approximately 80 nucleotides in length.
Source: RNAcentral
GGGAGUGUAGUGUCAACGGUUAGCACGUCGGUCUCCAAAACCGAAAGUGGUGGUUCGAAUCCAUCCACUUCUGCCA